CAAGGGGCUGAAGGGAGGGGGGCCUGGUGCCAGCCGUUUAAAAGUGCCCUUGUGGCAGUGAGGGGCACCAGAGGCCGCAUCAAUUUUGUUCAGAAGCAGUGACACCCCCAACCAUGCCCCCAAACAGGCUGGCCCCCAUCUCCGUGCCCCAAGGAGCCACACCUGGACCAGGCCCCCAGAAAGGCAAUGGCACUGGCUGGCAGGAGCCUUCCCUACCACCUGAUGUCAGAAAGCAAGAACCCAGUGAGGGAGCCUCCUGGGGACAGAGAAGAGCGAGCGACAUGCGGCCCUGGAAACAGAACUGCCCACAGCUGAACUGACCCAGGAGUGCUCAACUCAGGAGACAUUGGCCUGCGGAGGAGACGCAGCCUCCCCUUCACCCACACGUCCCCAGAGCUUCCCGACAGAAGACAGAGGUUCCCCCCCCCGCCUAGCGACAUUUCCUGAAGACAUAGGGAGCGCAGAAGCGGAAAGAUCUCUCCACCCGGGAGCAGCCCCCACGCUGCCAAUGGCCACCCCCGAGCCAGCCGCCAGGUAAGAUUCAACCACCACCUGGCUUAACAGGUGCAGAGAGGAGAAAGCCUGGUGAGAAGUAGAGCCCGGGACUCCAGAGUAGCCUCCCCUUCAUCUCCUGACCAGAGAGCCCGAGUGUGAAGGGCCUCUUGUGAGGUGAGUGGAGCCAACAAUGGCUCAGGAAGGCCGUCUUUGAAAGGAGAUGGCGGUUGGGAUGAGUGGUGUCUGCAUGCCCUGCAGUAUGUGCCACUCAGAGGAAGAGUUUCUGGACCCAGAAGCCCGGGAGGAGUGCCCCCUGCACACUGCCUCCUCCUCCAGGAAGCCUUCUCGGCUGUCUGUGGGGCUGGAACCCCUUUGUCCUCUAAGCUCUAGGCUGUCCUUUCUCGGCCUCCCAGGCCCACCCACCCUGCCAGGGACAUUUUCCUUCUGCCUCACCCUGACUGUGCUCCUCUCGGGCAAGGACUUCAGAUUCAGUCCCUUCUCCCCUCAGCAUGUAGAAGAGAGACCGAGCUCACUGAAUGAACAGACGGAAUGAUCAGACCUUGUCCCAAAACCAAAGGUCUGGUAAAGUGGUCAGGAGACAUCUAGCACAGAGGUUAAAAAUGAGGGUCCUGGAUUCUUGAGUUAGGAAUCCCAGCUCAGUUCCAAGCUCUGUGCCCUUGGAAAAUUCCCUUCUCAUGGAGCCUCAGGGGUGCCCAAGGACACUUAAACAUACCACUUAAACACUUAAACAUACCAUAAGUCACUAUUCUUCUUGCAGUCAUCAUCACUAUGAUUAUUCUAGAGGAACAGAACUGGAUGGCCUAUCACUAGGGGGUGGACCAGACUCACAGACCACAGAGGGGAAGGAGGCACAUACCUUCCCUGGUCAAAGGCUGCAUCUUGGCCCUGUCUCUGCAUCAGUUUCUCCUGGAGAAGCAUGGGACUGCCUUCCAUCUAGUUCCUGUCCUAAAUCCGGGAGAAAUGCUAUCUUUGCUGUAAUAUUCAUUUUUAUUUUUUUUGCACUUUCUGGCCGGGGCUGGGUUUGAACCCACCACCUCUGGCAUAUGGGGCCGGCACCCUACUCCUUUGAGCCACAGGUGCCACCCCUGCUGCAAUAUUCUUAACCCAUGGCAUGUGGUGAAAAUGGCCCUGAACUCCCGUGAUUUGAGCCCUGGCUCUGUGACCCUUGGAACAGUCCCCUCCCCUUCCUGGUUCUCCAUGUAGAAAUGACAACAUUCUCCUGCCUAGCUCCCUAGCAGUCCUGAAGUUUAACAGAAAUUGUUUCCCAAACUCAAUCAUUCAGAUACUUCAUUUUUAUUUUUGCCAUAUCUGCAUAUAAUCAUAUUUUUAAAUAUAAGAUGAAUCCUUUUUUAAUACUUAAAUAGAAAAAGCUACUCUGGGCUUGUCACCCAUAACACAGAGGUUAGGGCGUCGGCCACAUACACCUGAGCCGGCGGGUUCGAAUCCAUCCUGGGCCCACAAACCAACAGUGAUGGCUGCAACCAAAAAAUGGCCGGGCACUGUGGCGGGCACCCGUAGUCCCAGCUACUUGGGAGGCAGAGGCAGGAGAAUCGCUUGAGCCCAGGAUUUGGAGGUUGCUAUGAUCUGUGAUGCCACAGCACUCUACCCGGGGUGACAGCUUGAGGCUCUGUCUCAAAAAAAAUAAAAAUAAAUAAAUAAAAUAAAAAAUAAAACAUAAUUAGGAGAUAAAGGUAACAGUAAUUACACUAACAAUGAAACAACACAGUUAUACUUUACCCUGACACUGUGGCUUGCAAGGAGGGCCUGGGCAGUAAGCAGGAGUUAGAAAGGCUCAGGGACAGGAUAGCACCAAGUGGAGGCUUUCUUCCCCUGGUAAACAGAAAGACCAAAAGCAAUUGAGAGAACAACCUGAGUCACUGUGCUCCCAAGUGAGUUCAUUCACCCCACAGCCAAAGACAGUUUAGGCGAAAGGGCUUUGGAAACCGUCUCCCACCAAGUGAAGGCAGCAGACACUCCAUCAGCCCAGUUCCCACAGCACCACCUUUCCAGGCUACUCUCCCUGGCUUCCUACUGAAACCGCCUGCGGAGCAGGCUGGGUAUGCUCCUUCCCAGGGCCCACUGGAGCCCUGGGAAAGUGGAGCAGGCAGACUAUCUGUGAUUCCCAAGUGAGGCCCAAUGUUGGAAUCACUCCCUAGCCAAAGGCAGUUUGAAAAGAGACCUGCAAGAGAAUUCCAAAUAGGAGGAAGGUAGCUCUUUAGCUAGGGAUACGUCAGGAACGGGCUGUCCCCCUUUGGCAAAACUUAACCUCCCCCAAGUGACAGACCAGAGGAAAACACUCUUUCUACUCUUCCAAGAUUGGUUUCAAAUUUCUGCUAGAGGUGUAGGAAGCAGUUUUUUCUUUUUUCUUUUAAGGAAGCAUGUGUUUUUUCUGCUCUCUCCCAGCGCUGAGGAAAAGCUGCCUGCCCACUUCAGACACUCCUGAAAAUAUACAUCAUCUGGCAUUGAUACCACCACAGUGACUAUUAAGCAAAGUAGAAGGUCCUCUGAGGUCUUCUGAGAUUGGCGAGGGCAGGAAGAGUGGGGGAGGGAGGGAGGCUUUGCUUGGUCACCUGCAAGUUCCCAUCCAAGCCCAGCCCAGAGAAGAAAAUGAAUGAUCUACAUGGUCAUUCAUUCGGCCACCAAAUGGCAUUUGCUGGGGUCCAUCAUCAUCUACAAAACCACAUCAGCAAGAGCCAGCAUCCCCCAAAUCAACCAGGCAUGGGCACUAUCCUCAGAGACCCAGAGAUGUAGCCAGGUCAGACCCACACAGAAAUAAUUCUGAUACUAGAAAUAAUGAGACCAAAGAAACAUGAUCCAGCCAUUUGAACAAUGCUUAUUUGUCCUGUAUGCUACCUGGUCCUGAUGUCAGUGGUCAGUGUGGGCGACAGGCCAUAUGGUCCAUGAGUAAAGGUGUCAUAAAUGACAAUUACAUCACAAAUGUGAUAAGGGAUUAGAAGGAGGGCACAGGAUGAGUGAGAAUGAGAAGGAGAGGGCCCUGAUAUCUACAGAAAUCAGGGAGGGCCUCUUAGACCAGUCACCUGAACAGAGGGGUAGAUGAGACUAAGUUCAUGAAGAGGAGAAGGGUGGGAGAGCAGGGGACAGAGAAGAACCAGGGAGUGACAGAGCUCCUGGGAGCCUGGGAUGGGCAGACUCGGGCUCCCUGGAGUAAUGGAAGGACAUCUAUGGCCAGAGCCCACAAGGAAGAAGACCAGGUGGCCUUGGUCUGCAUACUUUAGCCUUCUGGGGGAGCGUCAGAACUUAGCCUGAGGACAAUGGGGGCCUUUUUGAGAAUUUACAGUGGGGAAAGAUAUGAUCACAUUUGCAUUUUCAAAAAUCAUUCUGCGAGUGGGCGGUGUCCGUAGCUCAGUGGGUAGGGUGCUGGCCACAUAUACCAAGGCUGGUGGGUUUGAACCCAGCUAAAACAAUGACAACUGCAACAACGACAACAACAAAAUGCUCACCUGCAAGUUCCCACCCAAGCCAAGCCCAAAGAAGAAAAUGAAUGAUCGACAUGGUCAUUCAAUUGGUGCCACGUUGUAGUGGGCCCCUGUAGUCCUAGCCACUUGGGAGGCUGAGGCAAAAGAAUCACUUAAGCCCAAGAGUUUGAGGUUACUGUGAGCUGUGACACCAUGGCACUCUACCCAGGGCCAGAGCUGGAGACUCUGUCUCAAAAAAAAAAAAAAAAAAUCUCUCUGAGAGGACAGGUGGGAAGACGAGGGGAGUGAAGAAGGGAGACAGGGCUGGACGUGGUGGCUCACGCCUAUAAUCCUAGCACUCUGGGAGGCUGAGGCAGGAGGGUCCCUUAAGCUCAGGACUUUAAGACCAGCCUGAGCAAGAGUGAGACCCCAUCUCUACUAAAAUAAAAGAAUUAGCCAGGCAUUGUGGCAGGUGCCCGUAGUCCCAGCUAUUUAGGAAGCUUGAGGCAUGAGGUUCACUUGAGCCCAAGAGUCUGAGGUUGCUGUGACUUACAAUGAUGCCAUGGCACUCCAACCCCAAGUUGACAAAGUGAGACUCUAUUAAAAAAAAAAAAAGAAGAAGAAGAAGAAGGAAGAUAGGAAGUCUAAAAUAUCAAGGACCAUGAAUGGAGCUACUUGGCUGGGAUGCACCAAGCAUAAAGCAUAAACCAUCCAACAAAUUGGAUGAUCCCAUUCAUUGAAAUGUGCAGAUUAGGCAGCUCUAUAGAGACAGAAGGUGAUCUGCCCAGGGCUAGGGGUUGGCUAAGAAUAAGGGGCUUCUUUCGAGAGGUUAAUUAAUUAAUUUUAAUACUCUAAAAUUAAUUUUGGCAACAGUUGUGCAACUUUAUGAAUGUAUUAAAAAUCACCUGGUUGUUAACAUGAAAUGGGUAGAUCCUAUCUAAAUAAAGCUGUUAAAAAAGAAAAAGAAAGGGGUGGCGGCCCCAUGUACUGGAGGUAAUGGGUUCAAACCCGGCCCCGGGCAAAAAAAACUGUAAGAAAGAAGGUUGAGGUCUGAUCCCAGAAGGCUCCAAUGGCAGGCAACACACAGGAAACAAAGCUGGGGGUGGUCACCACAGUCUCGGGAUGAGCUGGAGGGGCAGGGCCCAGGUUCCCUCUAAUGUCCGUCUCCUGCCAGGCUGGAGCUCACCACUAGUCGCCAGAGUGGAGCAGCACAGCGCCCUGUCUCCCAGCCUGAGGUGCAGUGCUGCAUCUCUGGUCAGUUGGGAGUCUGAGAUGAAGCACUGUAGCUCGGGAAGGGAGAAGUUGUUCUGCAGCCAUCAGCCUGAAAGUGGUAAGUCGGGGGUGGGCAGAGGGUACCAAGAAACUGGAGGUCAGUCACUUGUGGUGCUGGGGAAAUUCCUAGCCUCAAGUUCUACCCAACUUACUCAAGUAAGUUCUUGACUUACUUCAAGAUUCUGGGCAUGUUCUGGCUCUUCUGUGCAUUCCAGUGUGUCCAUCCUUAACAUGAGGUCUCUUUCUGAGCUCCCAGAAGACACUGCUACUCAGUUAUGACCUUCAUGCUUAAAGUGUUCAGAUGCAGCUUCAGACCCUUCUCAACAAUGACCCUGGACAGCCACUAUUAGUGAUUCAGAGCUGAAAAUCAUGCAUCAUUUGUGGUUUGGACAAUUCCUAAAAACCUUUUAGCCCUAAAGACAAAAGUCCUAGACUUUGAGUCAGCGUCUUGACUCUCUAUGCUCCUACCCUUGGCUCUGGGUUAUUGCCUAAACCAGUUCAGGCUCUCACAAAUGUCUGACUUCUCCUGAAGGCUUCGGACAAACAAUGAACAGCAGAGGAGAGCACUAGGCUAAGCACAAUUUCAUUUAACCUCGCAACAAGUUUGGGAAGUGGGCAAUCUUGAAGGCCCAUUUUAUAGAUGAGAAACACCGAGGCUCAGAAAAAGUUUGUCCAACAUCACACAAUGAUUGUGCUAAAUUGGGCUGGUAAUAAUCUGCCUGAGGAUCCAUGUUCUUACCCCCUUUUCGUGUGAUUGUGAAACCUGGGACAGAGAGGAUUUAUUAAGAAGACUUAUUAAGGCUCAGCAUCCAUAGCACAGUGGUUACAGAGCCAGCCACAUACACCGAGGCUGCCGGGUACGAACCCAGCCCAGGCCAGCUAAACAACAAAGACAACUGCAACAAAAAAUAGCUAGGUGUGUGGUGGGUGCCUAUAGUUCCCAGCUACUUGGGAGGCUGAGGCAAGAGAAUCACUUGAGCCCAGGAGUUGGAGUUUGCUGUGAGCUGUGAUGCUACAGCACUCUACCCAGGGUAACAGCUUGAGACUCUGUCUCAAAACAAACAAACAAAUAGAGAGAGACUUAUUAAGUUCUCUUUAAUAAAUCCUGCUCUGGUCUUGUCUUUGCAUCUCAGGUUAACUUUUAUUUCUCUCUCUCUCUUUUUUUUUUUUUUACAUCCACAGUGUGCCACAUUAGGUUACUUUUAGCAAAGACAGACCCAAACACUUACCAUUAAUCCUAUGGGCUUUCUUCCUUCUAUCCUCCUCCCCUGCUGCCAAAUCUCUCCAGUAGGCACUAUACUAUUCUAUUUUAUAAUUAAGGAAAGCCAAGCCUCAGAGGUUACAUGACUUGCUAGAGUCUAUGAGGGAGGAAGUUGCCAAGCAGAGACAAGGAACUGGAUGGUUGGUUUAAAUUCACCCCUCUGGCUAGAGACUCAGGAGUACACCACUGACAGCAGUUGGCAAUCCUAGGGGGCUUAUGGUCCUGGGGGGGGAGCACCAGCUGGUUUCUGGUCAACAAUGCCAUCAAAGUCUGGCCUUUGACUACAAAGAAGGGAAUUUCCAGGACACUUGAAAUUUCAGGAGCAAUGAGCCACAUCCUGUGAUCCGUGGCACCCCAUGCUGGCUGCCACAGAUGGGGCUGGAUGCAGAAGAAAACUCCAGCUGGUUCUCAGGGCCAUGGCAGGCCUUGGUGCUGAAGGCCACUGUCUCCCACCUUGUCCUCACGGUCCAGUUUUCCCAGGAAUCCCUUAGAUGCUAAGAUGGGGAUUCCUGGAAAUACUGUUCUUGAGGUCAGGGUUUAACAGCCGGAUUCACCUCCUUCCUACGCGGAGCUGCCCGCCAUGGCCCACAGCUGGAGCAACAGAUGGGGCCAGUGAGAAGGCCUGGAGGUAAGAAGGCUUGUGAAACAGGUUCUCGACCUUUAUGUUGCUUUUCUUCCCAUUGUGUCCAUUUCGUAACAGCCCUGUGAGGCUGGAUGUGGGAACUUCAGCACUGCUGCACUCUUGGGAAAUCUUCCCCAAAGCCACUCAGCUGAGCAGUUUGUCUAACCAGAACACCUCAAGGCGCGUGUUUCUCCAUCACCACCCCCCUCCGCAGCCUUGCAAGAAGGGGCACAAUAUCACAUCCACGUUAUUGAUGAACUAUUAAACGCACACGAAUUUAUUUUAGAAGUGCGUUAAAUCCGUUACGUAAACUACAAACCAUAAGUCUUAAUUUGAUUUGGAACGAAAUCAGAGAAAAACGGAAAUUUUUCAUCAGAGAUAAAGACAAAAAGCUCAGAGCGCCCUCUUGUGGUGCCUCUGGCGGCACCAGGACUGCCUGGCUCCACCUACAGCGAUAAAUUCUCAUCUUCCUGACGACGUCGUCUUACGCGCACACCCUGAGGCUCUCUUUGUUAUUCCGCAGCACUUUGAGCCAGUGAGUGCGUAAGCCCUCUUCCUCAUCAUAUCCAUCAUUUCUCUACUUUUACGUCCACGUCCUUAUUUCAUCUUAAGCUCCCCCCUUAGGUCAAUGAGGUUAGCAAGGCUCAGAGACCAGCCCAAGGUCACUCAGAUAGCAAAAGGCAGAGCUAGGAUUAAUUUCAAGUUCAGUGACAUAUGGCAAUUUUUUUCACCAAAAGAAAAGGCUACAAAAAUUAAAAAAUGAAAAAAGCCAGCCUCUCUGACUACAUAUAGGAAAUGCUACCUGACUGAACGACAAAAGGCCUAAGUGUUACAGGUACAAAACUAGAACUUUCCCCCAAACUCUUGCUACUACUAUUCAUGGAAAUGGUAGAGAUGCUAUUAAGUGUCAUGGCCCUGGAACCCUCAUUUUGGGGUCUGACCCCUACACUCUCAGGUACCAGGCAGUUCCCACAAAUGUCCCAGCUUGUCAUCCUCACAGGCCACAUUAAAGACAUCUAUGAAGUGAGAAAUCCCGCCCCGCCCCCAUCUGCAGAGACUGGAGCUGGCCUGACCAUGGAAAAAUCAGAUUUGCUAAUAAUAUUAAUAACACUACUCGCCCCACUCACUGUCUGCACUUGGUCAGCCACUGACCUCCACACCUUCACAAGCAUUGCCCCAUUCAGCAACCCAGUGAAGUGGGUUCUACUCUUUACUCCAUUACACAGAUGAAGCCCAGGCUGAGAGAGGCUGAGGCUUACCUAAGGUCACACAGCUAAAAAGUGGUGAGGCUGGAACUAAAUCACGUGUGUGUUCAUGUUUUGGGCCAUCAUGUUGCAACUUCAACCUCCCAUUUGGCCUAGACUGGCUGGUGGGGCUGUAUUCUGAUGGGUUUCCCUGGGGAAGAGGAAAACACAAGCCUUUAGUGAGACCCAAGGGUUCUCUCCCAUGCUCUGUGACUAUAAUAAAGUGCUGGACUCUUGG
Nycticebus coucang (slow loris) is the source of this 8569-nucleotide RNA transcript. RefSeq lists it as uncharacterized. The record is from RefSeq and is a predicted model, not a curated record. NCBI's taxonomy places the organism in Eukaryota, Metazoa, Chordata, Mammalia, Primates, Lorisidae. The transcript has 4 exons.